Molecule: ribosomal RNA, 467 nt
Filed under: uncultured bacterium
Lineage: Bacteria
Description: partial 16S ribosomal RNA
Rfam family: Bacterial small subunit ribosomal RNA
Source: RNAcentral
GACGAACGCUGGCGGCGUGCUUAACACAUGCAAGUCGAACGGAAAGGCCUCUUUCGGGGGGUACUCGAGUGGCGAACGGGUGAGUAACACGUGAGUAACCUGCCCUUGACUUUGGGAUAACUUCAGGAAACUGGGGCUAAUACCGGAUAGGAGCUCCUGCUGCAUGGUGGGGGUUGGAAAGUUUCGGCGGUUGGGGAUGGACUCGCGGCUUAUCAGCUUGUUGGUGGGGUAGUGGCUUACCAAGGCGUUGACGGGUAGCCGGCCUGAGAGGGUGACCGGCCACAUUGGGACUGAGAGACGACCCAGACUCCGACGGGAGGCAGCAGUGGGGAAUAUUGCACAAGGGGUGGAAGCCGGAUGCAGCAACGCCGUGUGCGGGAGGACGGCCUUCGGGUUGUAAACCGCUUUCGCUCAUGACGAAGCUUUGUGUGACGGUAGUGGGUAAAGAAGCACCGGCUAACUACGUG